CGCGGCCUAUCAGCUUGUUGGUGGGGUGAUGGCCUACCAAGGCGACGACGGGUAGCCGGCCUGAGAGGGCGACCGGCCACACUGGGGCUGAGACACGGCCCAGACUCCUACGGGAGGCAGCAGUGGGGAAUCUUGCGCAAUGGGCGAAAGCCUGACGCAGCGACGCCGCGUGAGGGAUGACGGCCUUCGGGUUGUAAACCUCUUUCAGCCCUGACGAAGCGAAAGUGACGGUAGGUGGAGAAGAAGCACCGGCCAACUACGUGCCAGCAGCCGCGGUAAUACGUAGGGUGCGAGCGUUGUCCGGAAUUACUGGGCGUAAAGAGCUCGUAGGUGGUUUGUCGCGUUGUUCGUGAAAUCUCACGGCUUAACUGUGAGCGUGCGGGCGAUACGGGCAGACUGGAGUACUGCAGGGGAGACUGGAAUUCCUGGUGUAGCGGUGGAAUGCGCAGAUAUCAGGAGGAACACCGGUGGCGAAGGCGGGUCUCUGGGCAGUAACUGACGCUGAGGAGCGAAAGCGUGGGGAGCGAACAGGAUUAGAUACCCUGGUAGUCCACGCCGUAAACGGUGGGUACUAGGUGUGGGUUUCCUUCCUUGGGAUCCGUGCCGUAGCUAACGCAUUAAGUACCCCGCC
RNAcentral lists this ribosomal RNA (631 nucleotides) under uncultured bacterium. RNAcentral describes it as "bacterial SSU rRNA". It matches the Rfam family "Bacterial small subunit ribosomal RNA", at positions 232 to 873 of the family's 1533-position model. The record is from RNAcentral.